This 62-nucleotide transfer RNA is filed under the name Sinosolenaia iridinea. RNAcentral describes it as "tRNA-Val". The record is from RNAcentral. RNAcentral also lists the same sequence under 1 other name. Lineage: Eukaryota; Metazoa; Mollusca; Bivalvia; Unionida; Unionidae.
CAAAAAGUAGUAUAUAAUUUACAACUUGCUUACACCAAGUAAAAGGCUCCAGCCCUUUUUGA